RNAcentral lists this ribosomal RNA (497 nucleotides) under uncultured bacterium. RNAcentral describes it as "partial 16S ribosomal RNA". It matches the Rfam family "Bacterial small subunit ribosomal RNA", at positions 28 to 507 of the family's 1533-position model. The record is from RNAcentral.
GAUGAACGCUGGCGGCGUGCCUAAUACAUGCAAGUCGAGCGAACAGACGAGGAGCUUGCUCCUCUGACGUUAGCGGCGGACGGGUGAGUAACACGUGGAUAACCUACCUAUAAGACUGGGAUAACUUCGGGAAACCGGAGCUAAUACCGGAUAAUGUAUUGAACCGCAUGGUUCAAUAGUGAAAGACGGUUUUGCUGUCACCUAUAGAUGGAUCCGCGCCGCAUUAGCUAGUUGGUAAGGUAACGGCUUACCAAGGCAACGAUGCGUAGCCGACCUGAGAGGGUGAUCGGCCACACUGGAACUGAGACACGGUCCAGACUCCUACGGGAGGCAGCAGUAGGGAAUCUUCCGCAAUGGGCGAAAGCCUGACGGAGCAACGCCGCGUGAGUGAUGAAGGUCUUCGGAUCGUAAAACUCUGUUAUUAGGGAAGAACAAAUGUGUAAGUAACUAUGCACGUCUUGACGGUACCUAAUCAGAAAGCCACGGCUAACUACGUG